RNAcentral lists this ribosomal RNA (259 nucleotides) under uncultured bacterium. Its description in RNAcentral is "partial 16S ribosomal RNA". It matches the Rfam family "Bacterial small subunit ribosomal RNA", at positions 524 to 776 of the family's 1533-position model. The record is from RNAcentral.
UACGUAGGGUGCGAGCGUUGUCCGGAAUUACUGGGCGUAAAGAGCUCGUAGGUGGUUUGUCGCGUUGUUCGUGAAAUCUCACGGCUUAACUGUGAGCGUGCGGGCGAUACGGGCAGACUUGAGUACUGCAGGGGGAGACUGGAAUUCCUGGUGUAGCGGUGGAAUGCGCAGAUAUCAGGAGGAACACCGGUGGCGAAGGCGGGGUCUCUGGGGCAGUAACUGACGCUGAGGAGCGAAAAGCGUGGGGGAGCGAAACAGG